UUCUGAACACAUGUUCAGAACAUCUUUUACACAUAUUAUCACACCUAAAAGACAUCUUUCUCUUUAAGCGAACACAACAAAGAGAGCAUAAAACUGAGAGCAAAAAAGAAAAGGAAUUCUUCUUGGCUAAAGAAUCACUAUUUAAUAGUCUUCCUUGGGCAAAAAAGAAAACUUUGCUUCGGCUUCUUUCUUGCUGGUUUCUGUUUUGGUUCUACUAGUUCAUUUGUUGCUGUGGCUGUUGAUUUUGAGUUGUGUUUGCUAGCUGUGAGUUUGGAUAAAGUUCAUCACUUUUGUUUGCUUUCAGAUCUGCGGGCUAUGUAUUCUUCUUAACUUUGUAAUGUAUUUUUUUCGAUCUCUAUGAAUGAAGCAUGAAGUCUGAAGGUUUAACUUGAUUUCAUUUGUUGGUUUUGGAUUAUUUUUAUGAAUGAUAACUUUAUGUUGUCAUGCUCGGA
Molecule: long non-coding RNA, 452 nt
Filed under: Nicotiana benthamiana
Lineage: Eukaryota; Viridiplantae; Streptophyta; Magnoliopsida; Solanales; Solanaceae
Description: long non-coding RNA (NBEN_LNC037677)
Source: RNAcentral